UGGGGAAUUUUGCGCAAUGGGGGAAACCCUGACGCAGCAACGCCGCGUGAGUGAUGAAGGCCUUCGGGUCGUAAAGCUCUGUCAGAGGGAAAGAAAUGCAGUGGUGCUAAUAUCAUCAUUGCUUGACGGUACCCUCAAAGGAAGCACCGGCUAACUCCGUGCCAGCAGCCGCGGUAAUACGGAGGGUGCAAGCGUUGUUCGGAUUUAUUGGGCGUAAAGCGCGUGUAGGCGGUUUCUUAAGUCUGAUGUGAAAGCCCUGGGCUCAACCCAGGAAGUGCAUUGGAUACUGGGAGACUUGAAUACGGGAGAGGGCAGUGGAAUUCCUAGUGUAGGAGUGAAAUCCGUAGAUAUUAGGAGGAACACCGGUGGCGAAGGCGGCUGCCUGGACCGAUAUUGACGCUGAGACGCGAAAGCGUGGGGAGCAAACA
This 428-nucleotide ribosomal RNA is filed under the name uncultured Geobacter sp. RNAcentral describes it as "bacterial SSU rRNA". It matches the Rfam family "Bacterial small subunit ribosomal RNA", at positions 355 to 774 of the family's 1533-position model. The record is from RNAcentral. Lineage: Bacteria; Pseudomonadati; Thermodesulfobacteriota; Desulfuromonadia; Geobacterales; Geobacteraceae.